Molecule: ribosomal RNA, 464 nt
Filed under: uncultured bacterium
Lineage: Bacteria
Description: partial 16S ribosomal RNA
Rfam family: Bacterial small subunit ribosomal RNA
Source: RNAcentral
GACGAACGCUGGCGGCGUGCUUAACACAUGCAAGUCGAACGGAAAGGCCCCUUUGGGGGUGCUCGAGUGGCGAACGGGCGAGUAACACGUGAGUAACCUGCCCUUGACUUCGGGAUAACUUCAGGCAACUGGGGCUAAUACCGGAUAGGAAUCCUUGCUGCAUGGUGGGGGAUGGAAAGCUUCGGCGGUUUUGGAUGGCUUCGCGGCUGAUCAGCUUGUUGGUGGGCUAGUGGCUUACCAAGUCUUUGACGGGUAGCCGGCCUGAGAGGGCGACCGGCCACAUUGUGACUGCGAUACGGCCCAGACUCCUACAGGAAGCAGCAGUGGCGAAUAUUGCACAAUGGGCGGAAGCCUGAUGCAGCAACUCCGCGUGCGGGAUGAGGGCCUUCGAGUUGUAAACCUCUUUCAGCGGUAGCGAAGCAUUUGUGACGGUACCUGCAGAAGAAGCACCGGCUAACUACGUG